Molecule: ribosomal RNA, 345 nt
Filed under: Triticum aestivum (bread wheat)
Lineage: Eukaryota; Viridiplantae; Streptophyta; Magnoliopsida; Poales; Poaceae
Description: partial small subunit ribosomal RNA
Source: RNAcentral
AUGUCAUGUCCUCCAGUCAUGUGGUCGGUGACCAGCAUCAUGUGCAAGAUUGGAUUACUGCACGGCAUAGCGGUGCCGCUGAAAUGGCCGCUCGAAGGGACUCCGAGGGGAAGUACUGCUGCGCCUAGCAUCACUCGAUGUGAUGCUAUGAAAACAAUUGCUCGUCGUCGUUCAGCGGCCUUGCUGGAGUUCUGUCGCAAUCCACGAAACACAGUAAAAGCCUUGUCCAGUGGCCUCCGUGGAAGAAAAUGGGAACCAGAGCAAGGCCAUAUGAUGAAGCUCAUCAUUCAACUAUUGGUGGCCGGAGCGCAGGGAUUUUAUUAUCAAAAGUCGCUGAUUAGUUAA